Molecule: ribosomal RNA, 492 nt
Filed under: uncultured bacterium
Lineage: Bacteria
Description: partial 16S ribosomal RNA
Rfam family: Bacterial small subunit ribosomal RNA
Source: RNAcentral
AGUGAACGCUGGCGGUAGGCCUAACACAUGCCAGUCGAACGGCAGCACAGUAAGAGCUUGCUCUUACGGGUGGCGAGUGGCGGACGGGUGAGGAAUACAUCGGAAUCUACUUUUUCGUGGGGGAUAACGUAGGGAAACUUACGCUAAUACCGCAUACGACCUACGGGUGAAAGCAGGGGAUCUUCGGACCUUGCGCGAUUGAAUGAGCCGAUGUCGGAUUCGCUAGUUGGCGGGGUAAAGGCCCACCAAGGCGACGAUCCGUAGCUGGUCUGAGAGGAUGAUCAGCCACACUGGAACUGAGACACGGUCCAGACUCCUACGGGAGGCAGCAGUGGGGAAUAUUGGACAAUGGGCGCAAGCCUGAUCCAGCCAUACCGCGUGGGUGAAGAAGGCCUUCGGGUUGUAAAGCCCUUUUGUUGGGAAAGAAAAGCAGCAGGUUAAUACCCCGCUGUUCUGACGGUACCCAAAGAAUAAGCGCCGGCUAACUUCGUG